RNAcentral lists this long non-coding RNA (721 nucleotides) under Coturnix japonica (Japanese quail). RNAcentral's name for it is "lncRNA (ENSCJPG00005010687.1)". Lineage: Eukaryota; Metazoa; Chordata; Aves; Galliformes; Phasianidae. The record is from RNAcentral.
UAGCUUGGUAUCUGGACUUGAGCCUCAUGGUGAAAACCUGUCCAUCCACACAACUUGCACACCUGCCCAAUCCCAGUGUGAGGGUCCUGCAGAAGCACAAGGACCCUGUCACAUAGCCAUGGCUUGUAGGCAUUUUCAGAUGUGGUCCUUGACAGAAGAAGAGCAUAGGAGAGAAUUUAUACAAGGAGAGCCAAGCUAUGCCUAUAAAAUGGAUUUUGACUGAUCAAGCGGAUUGCUCCUGGGCUGCACAGACCUGGCAAAAUCAAUUCACGUGUGUAUGGAAAAGAGAGAGAUGUGGACACUAUCUGCAGGGAUCCAUACACAGCGUUCCCAAACUAAAACUCUUAUCCUUAACUCUGUCCUCAUAACUUUACCAUAAAGGUAGGUGUUUGGGGCCCUUUGCAAUGUAUUUGUUAAUAAUCUGAAAUCUGGGCCAGAGGUCCUCUUCAGCACAAUAAUAGAGCCAUUUUGCUAAACCCAUCCCCUCCCCAACCCUGUCUCCUCCUUUUUUUCCCCCCUUCUCAUCUCAUUUCCUCCUGAGCCAAAGAAAUCUGUCUGCCUGAUAGAUGGCUCCUGACAAGCUGAGCAGCUAAAGAUCACAUGUCAAUAGGGCUAUAAUUAGGAGAAUUGAGCCCUGUCAGGGCUGGACGGAUAUUUAUCUGAAAUCAAUGGCCAAUAGGGUGGAAGGAAUGAAGAUGUGGGAGUGUUUGCUUUGGAGCUG